GUGGAUUAGAUACCCUGGUAGUCCACGUCCUAAACGAUGUCAACUAGUUGUCGGGGAUUCAUUUCCUUGGUAACGCAGCUAACGCGUGAAGUUGACCGCCUGGGGAGUACGGCCGCAAGGUUAAAACUCAAAGGAAUUGACGGGGACCCGCACAAGCGGUGGAUGAUGUGGAUUAAUUCGAUGCAACGCGAAAAACCUUACCUACGCUUGACAUGUCAGGAACCUCGAAGAGAUUUGAGGGUGCCUGAAAGGGAGCCUGAACACAGGUGCUGCAUGGUCGUCGCCAGCU
This 289-nucleotide ribosomal RNA is filed under the name uncultured bacterium. RNAcentral describes it as "partial 16S ribosomal RNA". It matches the Rfam family "Bacterial small subunit ribosomal RNA", at positions 773 to 1060 of the family's 1533-position model. The record is from RNAcentral.